GCGGGACACGUGGUAUCCUGUCUGAAUAUGGGGGGACCAUCCUCCAAGGCUAAAUACUCCUGACUGACCGAUAGUGAACCAGUACCGUGAGGGAAAGGCGAAAAGAACCCCGGCGAGGGGAGUGAAAAAGAACCUGAAACCGUGUACGUACAAGCAGUGGGAGCCUCUUAAUGGGGUGACUGCGUACCUUUUGUAUAAUGGGUCAGCGACUUAUAUUCUGUAGCAAGGUUAACCGAAUAGGGGAGCCGAAGGGAAACCGAGUCUUAACUGGGCGUUAAGUUGCAGGGUAUAGACCCGAAACCCGGUGAUCUAGCCAUGGGCAGGUUGAAGGUUGGGUAACACUAACUGGAGGACCGAACCGACUAAUGUUGAAAAAUUAGCGGAUGACUUGUGGCUGGGGGUGAAAGGCCAAUCAAACCGGGAGAUAGCUGGUUCUCCCCGAAAGCUAUUUAGGUAGCGCCUCGUGAAUUCAUCUCCGGGGGUAGAGCACUGUUUCGGCAAGGGGGUCAUCCCGACUUACCAACCCGAUGCAAACUGCGAAUACCGGAGAAUGUUAUCACGGGAGACACACGGCGGGUGCUAACGUCCGUCGUGAAGAGGGAAACAACCCAGACCGCCAGCUAAGGUCCCAAAGUCAUGGUUAAGUGGGAAACGAUGUGGGAAGGCCCAGACAGCC
RNAcentral lists this ribosomal RNA (676 nucleotides) under Escherichia coli. RNAcentral describes it as "partial 23S ribosomal RNA". It matches the Rfam family "Bacterial large subunit ribosomal RNA", at positions 417 to 1094 of the family's 2925-position model. Lineage: Bacteria; Pseudomonadati; Pseudomonadota; Gammaproteobacteria; Enterobacterales; Enterobacteriaceae. The record is from RNAcentral.